Molecule: non-coding RNA, 75 nt
Organism: Danionella cerebrum
Lineage: Eukaryota; Metazoa; Chordata; Actinopteri; Cypriniformes; Danionidae
Source: the annotation of a GenBank genome assembly
GCUUUCCUGUGGCUUGGUUGGUAAAGCAUUGGGCUAACAACGCAAAGCUCGUGGGUUCAAAUCCAAGGAAAAGCA